Quercus robur (English oak) is the source of this 600-nucleotide long non-coding RNA. RefSeq lists it as uncharacterized. The record is from RefSeq and is a predicted model, not a curated record. NCBI's taxonomy places the organism in Eukaryota, Viridiplantae, Streptophyta, Magnoliopsida, Fagales, Fagaceae. The transcript has 2 exons.
AAAAACUCCCCUCUCUUCUCUUCUCUUGAGUUCUUGUGAAGCUGAAUAGUCUUGUCAUAUCUUGGUCUUCCUGAGACUCAAGGUAACAAGGGCUUUACAUGCAAAAUGGGACUAGGCCAAUUGAAUCAAGCCAACUUACAUCCAGCUAGGCAUGAAUUCAAGAAAAGACCAACCCAAUUAAAUUUAAGUCCAAUUGGAGUAAGGAAUCAAAGGAAAUUUGCGCCAAAUCCAAGUCCAAUUCGGAUUAGGAUUCCAGACUGCACAUCAGUUAGUAUUUUUGGCAUAACUUUCGGCUCAGAUGUCCAAUCUAGAUGAUUCAAGUUGGGCUGGAACGAUAACUUAAAGGGCUACAACUUUGUAGUUUACCAAAAGUCCAAAUUCUGAUGUUAAAUGGGCCAAAAUAGUCGGUUAAGUGAAGCCUAAAAAUCUGGAAUUUUCUCCAAACGGGAAUUCAACUUGUAAUAGGAUUCUUUAACCUAUUUAAAGGCUCUUUAGGGAAAAAUUCAGGGAGGCUAGUGCUAGGGCUGAGGGCUGAGGGCUGAAUGUGUAGAGAGUUGCAGCUACUUCUUCCAUGAUAGUUAGUUUUAUUUUAUUUGUCUA